Apodemus sylvaticus (European woodmouse) is the source of this 3770-nucleotide long non-coding RNA. RefSeq lists it as uncharacterized. The transcript is spliced from 3 exons. NCBI's taxonomy places the organism in Eukaryota, Metazoa, Chordata, Mammalia, Rodentia, Muridae. The record is from RefSeq and is a predicted model, not a curated record.
UGGUUCUCUUCUUCCUCAUUUACAUGCUGUCAGGGGGUUGAACUCAGGUUGUUGGGCUUACAGCAGUGUUGUACCUGCAGAACCAUCCCAUGAGCACCACAGGCAGCAUCUGGGAAGAAACUGUGAUGAUGAAGAGGUAUUGAGAUAAUGAAGAAAUGUUCAGGUAUAGUAAAAUAAGGCACAGGUAUCCAAGGAUAUAGAUGGGCAGAAGCUUGUUUCUUACUUGUACUGACAGUAAUAACAAAUGACCAACAUUUCUAUGCAGUUCCCCAAGACAAUAUUCUCCAGAAGAUGGCAAUGAGAGACAGUAUCUGAAUAUGCAGGAGGCCAUAUCACAGUUGAGAAAUUCCAAGUUCAGAAAACCUCCCUCUCUGACAGGCAGGAAGCAUACUUGAUGUUGCUUUCCCAACCUUCCAUUUUGAGUGUUCCCUGUACACAUGUUCCUGUAAGAUAUUCUCCUUGUUCCCAAGAUGAAGAGAUACCAUUUUCUAGGGAGGUUUGUCCUGCCAUGGUCCCACUACUCACUUCUACAACUAAACACUGUGUUUUCCUUAGGGAGACAAAUGUCACCCAGCAGCACACUUGAGGAUCCUGGAAAGAAGCAAUAAACACUGGACUAAUGCACAGACCUUGGGCCAUCUGCUGCUUCAAUUUCCACUUCAAAACAGCCUGAGUACCCAGGCUUUCAGAACCUCUGGCCUGUAGAUCUCUCAGCUAGCAAAUGAAAUGUUACUUACUCAGGAAGACAAAACAAAUAUUUCCCACAUCCUUGACGUCUAAAGAGAACCAGCAUUAGCCCUUAUUGAGAUUCUUAGCUAUCUGUGGUCAGCUGAUAAUGCCCACUCUCAAAGAUGCUCAUUCAAGACUCCCCAACACCUCUGAAGGCGAGCAUUCACACUGAAUGGGCCCUUGCAGGUGCGAUCACUGGAUUUGUGUUGGGAAGAUUAGCCUGGACUUUCUGAGGGGGGGUGGGGUCUCAGUGAGAUCACACUAACUUCUAAAACGAUGACAGGAAGAUCAGAGAGGCCAAUGUGUGCCUGGAAACAGCAACUGGGGUGACAAGACCAGAAACCAGUGACUGCUGCAGCUGGCAGAAAUGGGAAGAAACAGAAACAGUUUUCUCUGGAGCUUCCAGAAGAACACUUCUGCCAAGACCCAGCUGGAGUCUACACUCAUUAUUUUCCCCCUUGCUGCUACAAAACACCUGACAAAUGCAACAUAAGGAAGUUUAUGUUGGCUCAUGGUUUGAGGAUCCGAUUCCUGAUGGCUGGGAACGCACAGUGAGGCAGCUGGUCACAUUGCAUCUGCAGCUGGGAAUCGGAGAGCUGUGCACAACCAGCUCAUUCUCUUCUGCAUUCAGCCCAGAACUUCAGUUUGUGCAUGGUGCCAUUUACAGUUAGGUCAUAUCUUCACUCAGCUAACCCAAUCUAGAAAAUUAUUCACCGACUUGCCCAGAGAUUUGUCCAAGGGGAUUCUAGAUCCUACCAAGCUGUCAAUGUUGACUAUAACUGAGGUCCCUGAGUUUACUUUAUCUUUAAUUACAUAAUUCAAUAACUAUUUAAUUAACUAAUUUUUAAUUGAUUUCAGACCUCCAACAUUCCAAAAUUUAGGGAUAAAUUCAUGUUGUGUUAGACUGCUAAAUCUGUGGUAAUAGAAUUCAGAAGGAACAGGAUAUAAUGCUCCCACCCUACAUUAUUCUACAAAGACCCAAACUAACUUUGCUUUGUUUUUCCAGUUGGCUUGAAAUCAAAAUCAAAAUUAAGUGAGGGUUGAGGAGAGAUAGCAGAAGGUUGAGGGUAGGAGAAAAGAAAUGGAAAGGAAAAGAAAAAAAGGAAAAAUUAAAGAGGAAAAAAGCAAAGUUCUGCUUGGGAAAAAUAUAUCAACCAAACAAAAACCAGAUAAUACCAAAAGUUUUCAUCUUUUAAAAGAUAUUGUUGGUGUGUGUGUGUGUGUGUGUGUGUGUGUGUGUGUGACUGCAGGUUUCCAAAUAAGCCAGAAGAGAGCAUUAGAUACCCUAGAGGAAGAGUUACAGAUGCUUGUGAAGUACCCAACAUAGGCUCUGGGAAUCACACUCAUCCUCUGCACCCUCUCAGCUUCGGAGACAUCUCCCAGCCUCAAUCCUUGAAAGUUUUGACCAGAGCAUGCAUCUGUGUGGUUUUCCUUCAAAAAGAGAGUUUUUGUUUGUUGUUGAUACUAUGAUAGAUAGGAGUAAGAAAAUGAGUCCCAAAAUGGUACCAAUGUAGACCUCCUGUCUGUACCCAGUUAAUCAUAUGGCAUUGUUUCUGAGUAACAUCUCCUCAGAUAUCUCACCAGCUCAGGCCUCCCAGUUGUCCCUCAGAGCUUCCUCCAGACACUAUAGGUGCUGGGAAAGGGGCAGAAACCUUUCUUACCUGCUCCCUGUCCCAAACCUGUUGCUUCAACUUUCCACACAAGGACUAAAAUUGCCUCAGCUCUCAUACCCACUAUGAUUGCUACACUGGCCUGCAGAUAACAAGCACCCUUAGUGCUCUUGCUAACAGCCAUAUAACAUCUCUCCUGUCUUGGCUAUCCUUUGUAAUGAUAUUGUGCACCUAUUGCAUAUAGAAUAACAUUUCCCAUGAAUAUGUGCAUCCUGGCUACUUCCUCCUCCUGGGUCCCCAUAUCCCAAUCACUUCCUAGCAAUAGCUCUAGCAAUGGGUGGUACCCUUGGUUGAUGAAUGGGUUGUCAUAUCUGCCUUUUUUCAUUCCCUUCUCAAGUCACAAUACAAGCACUAGUACUGCCCUGAAGCCAUGACAGCAACAGCUUUCCUAGAGACCUGUUGUGUUCCACUUCAGCUCUCUUUCUGAUCAUCAAGUUCCAGAAGUCAGAGACAUGGAGUGGGUCAUAACUGGGUUGUAACUGUGUCAUGACUGCAUGGUAGGGUGCCUUACCUUUUGCGUCACUCACUGUUUAAGAGGAGAAAUGGAUGAUGCCAGGUAGAUUCUAAUCUUGCAAGAACAUACUCCUCUGUUCAUCCAUCUCCUGUGAUUAACCCAAGGUGGUAACUAACAAUGACAUACUCCUUUUCUAACUUGCUCAUCUGCCUUGGUUUCAUAAUGGUGCAAUUCCAAUGAGUGCUUAGUGAUGCUGGGGUGCAUCGUAUUGUGAUAGAAACAGGAGAGGUAGCACUGCAGGUUAUUAUACCAAGUAAAUACUCCAAGUCAUCGUGAGAGCUGUCAGUCCUCUGAAGUGCAUCUAGUAGGGUUGCUGGAUUCAGCAAAUAAAAAUAGAAAACACUCAAUUAACUUUGGAUUUCAGAUAUAUAAAAACACUUAUUUUAGUAAAAGUAUGUCUCAUAAUAUUUUGAACACACUUAUACUAAAAAAAAAAUAUUCUUCAUUUAUCUGAAAUUCAAAUAAAACCAGGUAUCUACAACUUGAACACCAACUUUACAAGUAGGUCCAUGACAUGUGGAUGAUAGAGGAAGGAUAGAGACUGAGAUAUUAAAUAAAACACAUUUGCCUUUUUUAGGAGACAUGGUCAAUGGACAUAAUAAAAUGUUUGAAAGGGAGGGCAUUUGAGUUCUGGUUAUCCGGCACUUACUUCAGCCUGGGUACUAGGGCACAUAUGGGGCAUGGAAUUCUCUCAAUUCUUGGAACACCCAGAAAAACACCCUGACUACUACUGUAGCUUGGACCUUUUUAUUCCUUUAAAUGAAAAAUGUUCACAAUUCAAAACUUCUUGAGUGCUAACACAACAACACAAAUAGAAUACUUUACACCAUGAAAUUGUUCUAUGGGCAAAUUUUUAA